UCUACGGGAGGCAGCAGGCGCGCAAAUUACCCAAUCCUAAUUCAGGGAGGUAGUGACAAUAAAUAACGAUACAGGGCCCAUUUGGGUCUUGUAAUUGGAAUGAGUACAAUGUAAAUACCUUAACGAGGAACAAUUGGAGGGCAAGUCUGGUGCCAGCAGCCGCGGUAAUA
This 170-nucleotide ribosomal RNA is filed under the name uncultured bacterium. RNAcentral describes it as "partial 16S ribosomal RNA". It matches the Rfam family "Eukaryotic small subunit ribosomal RNA", at positions 415 to 584 of the family's 1831-position model. The record is from RNAcentral.